GAUGAACGCUGGCGGCGUGCUUAACACAUGCAAGUCGAACGAGGCAUUUGCGACAGAUUUUUUCGGAAUGAAGUUGCUUAUGACUGAGUGGCGGACGGGUGAGUAACGCGUGGGUAACCUGCCUUGUACUGGGGGAUAGCAGCUGGAAACGGCUGGUAAUACCGCAUAAGCGCACAAUGUUGCAUGACAUGGUGUGAAAAACUCCGGUGGUAUAAGAUGGACCCGCGUCUGAUUAGCUAGUUGGUGAGAUAACAGCCCACCAAGGCGACGAUCAGUAGCCGACCUGAGAGGGUGACCGGCCACAUUGGGACUGAGACACGGCCCAGACUCCUACGGGAGGCAGCAGUGGGGAAUAUUGCACAAUGGAGGAAACUCUGAUGCAGCGACGCCGCGUGAGUGAAGAAGUAAUUCGUUAUGUAAAGCUCUAUCAGCAGGGAAGAUAGUGACGGUACCUGACUAAGAAGCUCCGGCUAAAUACGUG
Molecule: ribosomal RNA, 481 nt
Filed under: uncultured bacterium
Lineage: Bacteria
Description: partial 16S ribosomal RNA
Rfam family: Bacterial small subunit ribosomal RNA
Source: RNAcentral